AAAAACGGUCCCGGACGACUCUACAUUUUUCGUUCGGCAUCCGUAAUGGAAAGGAGAGUAAUCAUCACCCGUAUCGGCUCGCGGUGCAGCAGCGUGGAGACCUGUUGUAAAACCUUCGCUCCCAGGGCGGGCGUUGGUGAGUCGCGCUGUUAGCAAAAGCAGGGCGUGGCAGAGCCGGCGAUAUGGCG
RNAcentral lists this non-coding RNA (188 nucleotides) under unclassified sequences. Its description in RNAcentral is "malK-I RNA". It matches the Rfam family "malK-I RNA". The record is from RNAcentral.